GAUGAACGCUGGCGGCGUGCCUAAUACAUGCAAGUCGAGCGAACAGAUGAGGAGCUUGCUCCUCUGACGUUAGCGGCGGACGGGUGAGUAACACGUGGAUAACCUACCUAUAAGACUGGGAUAACUACGGGAAACCGGAGCUAAUACCGGAUAAUAUAUUGAACCGCAUGGUUCAAUAGUGAAAGACGGUUUUGCUGUCACUUAUAGAUGGAUCCGCGCCGCAUUAGCUAGUUGGUAAGGUAACGGCUUACCAAGGCAACGAUGCGUAGCCGACCUGAGAGGGUGAUCGGCCACACUGGAACUGAGACACGGUCCAGACUCCUACGGGAGGCAGCAGUAGGGAAUCUUCCGCAAUGGGCGAAAGCCUGACGGAGCAACGCCGCGUGAGUGAUGAAGGUCUUCGGAUCGUAAAACUCUGUUAUUAGGGAAGAACAAAUGUGUAAGUAACUAUGCACGUCUUGACGGUACCUAAUCAGAAAGCCACGGCUAACUACGUG
Molecule: ribosomal RNA, 497 nt
Filed under: uncultured bacterium
Lineage: Bacteria
Description: partial 16S ribosomal RNA
Rfam family: Bacterial small subunit ribosomal RNA
Source: RNAcentral